GUGAGUAACACGUGAGUAACCUGCCCUUGACUUUGGGAUAACUUCAGGAAACUGGGGCUAAUACCGGAUAGGAGCUCCUGCUGCAUGUGGGGGUUGGAAAGUUUCGGCGGUUGGGGAUGGACUCGCGGCUUAUCAGCUUGUUGGUGGGGUAGUGGCUUACCAAGGCUUUGACGGGUAGCCGGCCUGAGAGGGUGACCGGCCACAUUGGGAAUGAGAUACGGCCCAG
Molecule: ribosomal RNA, 226 nt
Filed under: uncultured Actinomycetales bacterium
Lineage: Bacteria; Bacillati; Actinomycetota; Actinomycetes; Actinomycetales
Description: partial 16S ribosomal RNA
Rfam family: Bacterial small subunit ribosomal RNA
Source: RNAcentral